UACGGGGGGAGCAAGCGUUGUUCGGAUUUACUGGGCGUAAAGCGCGCGCAGGCGGAUAUUUAAGUUGGGCGUGAAAUCUCCCGGCCUAACUGGGAGGGUCGCUCAAAACUGGGUGUCUUGAGGACUGCAGAGGUAGGUGGAAUUCCUGGUGUAGUGGUGAAAUGCGUAGAGAUCAGGAGGAACACCGGUGGCGAAGGCGGCCUACUGGCAGUCUCUGACGCUGAGGCGCGAAAGCUCGGGAGCGAACGG
RNAcentral lists this ribosomal RNA (249 nucleotides) under uncultured bacterium. Its description in RNAcentral is "partial 16S ribosomal RNA". It matches the Rfam family "Bacterial small subunit ribosomal RNA", at positions 524 to 775 of the family's 1533-position model. The record is from RNAcentral.